This 840-nucleotide small RNA is filed under the name Pongo abelii (Sumatran orangutan). RNAcentral's name for it is "retained intron". The record is from RNAcentral. Lineage: Eukaryota; Metazoa; Chordata; Mammalia; Primates; Hominidae.
UGGCCUCCGUGCUUAUCAGCUUUGUGGCUGUGGGGCCGAGGGACAUCCGCUUGACCCCUCGGCCUGGCCCCAAUGGCUCCUCCCUGCCACCCCGGUUUGGCCACUUCACCGGCUUCAACAGCAAUACCCUGAAGGACAACUUGGGUGCUGGCUAUGCUGAGGACUACACCACGGGAGCCAUGAUGAAUUUUGCCAGCGUCUUUGCUGUCCUCUUUAACGGCUGUACAGGCAUCAUGGCUGGGGCCAACAUGUCAGGGGAGCUGAAGGACCCCAGCCGGGCGAUCCCUCUGGGCACGAUCGUCGCCGUCGCCUACACCUUCUUCGUCUAUGUCCUGCUUUUCUUUCUCUCCAGCUUCACUUGUGGCAGGACCCUGCUGCAGGAAGACUAUGGGUUCUUCCGCGCCAUCAGCCUGUGGCCCCCACUGGUGUUGAUCGGAAUCUAUGCCACGGCACUCUCAGCAUCCAUGAGCUCGCUCAUUGGUGCCUCCCGCAUCCUCCAUGCCCUGGCCCGGGAUGACCUCUUUGGAGUGAUCUUGGCACCAGCCAAGGUUGUGUCCCGAGGGGGAAACCCCUGGGCGGCUGUACUGUAUUCUUGGGGACUGGUGCAGGUGAGCCUUCUUCUUCAAGGGGCCCUUUCCCUCACCCCACCAGCUGGCAGGAUGGGGAUGCAGUUAGAUGCAGGCUGGGAGACAAAUGCAAAGACAAAUGCGUAUGCACUUGGGGGUGCACUGGCGCUCUGCAGGGUUCACUGGCACUUUGUGGGGUUCACCAGCACCUUGCAGGUUGCCCCAGUGCUUUGCAGGGUUCAUUGGCACCCUGGGGGGUUCACUGGCACUUUUU